This is a long non-coding RNA of Chinchilla lanigera (long-tailed chinchilla), 1911 nucleotides long. RefSeq lists it as uncharacterized. NCBI's taxonomy places the organism in Eukaryota, Metazoa, Chordata, Mammalia, Rodentia, Chinchillidae. The record is from RefSeq and is a predicted model, not a curated record. The transcript has 3 exons.
UGCUACUGCCUUCUGCCUGCCGCGCAAUAACGUCUCUCCUCUGUGAUGCCCUCCGCCAAAUGCCCGCCAGCUAUGGACCGAAACUCCUACAAGCUGUGAACCGAAAGAAAACUUUCCUCCUUUAAACUUGUGGGUGUGUGGGAUAUUUUGUCUCAGCAACAGAUGUGGAUCCAGAGAAGUCAUCCAGGGGCAACACACUUUCCAGGGCUCUUUCUGUGCCUCUUAGAUGGAAGCUUUCCUACUCUCAAUAAAUUCUUCUGACUCUUAACCUUCACUGUUCCUAGAAUUUACUCCUUGGUUUUAGAAAACAUGAACUCAGCAUUUCUGAUAUCAAGCAGGUUGGAAGUUUCUUUCCCCUACAUCAUUUGGAGAGCUUCCACCGUGAUAACAUAAUGGAGAAUACAAAGCAAUUGGAAAAAAAAGAAAAUCACACUUUACUGCUACAAAAAAGUCUCUAAAGGAAAACCUUAUGAAAGAGUCUGUUUCAGAGGUGCAUAGUGGCCAGCAGUGAAGACUGGAAAGCUUUGUAAUUAGAUGACUUCCUGGUCUUUACCAGCUUCCAUCGGUUGGAGAAUGUGGGCUUCGGAGCUGGACGGUUUCGUGUUUGGUAUGCUUGCAUGUAUAUAAGUGUAUAGAUAAUUGGUAUGUUUUGUACCGAGGACUUGAGCUGUGUAACAUUACUGUGGGAAGUUGCAAAUGAUGUAUGAAAUGAGAAAUCGGUGCCCACGGGUGGUACAUGGAUAGAACAGAGACAGUGGCACGCAAUCUCCUCUCUGUCAUUUGUCAUAGGGUUCAUCUCGUGAAAGGCAGACCGUAUCAAUAAACCUGAGCGCCACACAUGCAUACUAAACAAUAUGCUUCAUUGCUCGUUUUUAAAGUACUCCUUCCUUCUUGAAAACCAGUUUACAAAAACUAUUGUGCCCAAGGAAAGUGUAAGCAACUUCUAUUUUACUGAGUUCAAUUACACACCUAAAAAAUUAAAUUCAGGAAAUUCUAAAUACCACUGUACAUCUGCUUAUGUUCAGUAUCACUAAAUUGCUAGACUUGCUAUCCAAAGUAAACUUCUUGUGAGGAAACAGGCAGAGGUUUUAGCUAUAACAAUUGUCCAACAAUCAUUUGAAAAUGUCUCAGUGCAGAGUGACAUUUUGUAUCUUGAUUUUUUCUUUGAGGUAGGGUAUCAUUCAGUCACAGAAUUGAACAUGCUGAGCUUGAACUUGGGAUCCUUUUUCCUCAGCCUCCCACGAUAACUGAGUUAUGGAUUUGCUGCACCAUGCGCAGCUGCAUCUUGAUGUUUGAAAGGCUUUACGUCACACCUACCACUGACUGGCCACUUUUUCCUGAGCUAGCUUUAAUCUGAAAUGCUUGUGACUGACCCUUCACUCGCUGAUCAACCCUCAAAUCAAGUAUUACACCAACAGUGGUGUAACUAAAUAUUUAAUCCAUUUUCUUACAAAAUAUCCCAGUCCAGAAUAAAACAGCUGAGGGAAAAACUAAAAAGAUAAUAGUGAUAGUCUAGUUAGGAAGCUUGAAAAAGGUUUGCAAAUUGCCACUAUGUUGUAACAAUAAGAAACCAUUUGAGCAAAAUGAGAAAUCAACAACCCUUGUCCGAUCCCUAAAGAAAAGGAAAUAGCAGCACACACCUCUGCCCCCCUAAAGCCAAGAGAUCAAUAAGCAAAUACAGAGAAUCACAACAUACAGGAACAAAAACUCAUGAACCGAAUCAGUUUCUGAGGGGGAAACGGUGAAGUACAGGGUGGGGAAACCUAAACUGUAAUGAAGGAACUGCUAAAGAUUUAGUGCAAAGCACUGAGAGGUAAAAUUUUAGAGUGAUCCAGGUGUCUUAAUUACUUUUCUCUCACGGCUGAGACAAAAUGCUUGACACCCAAAGUUAAAGGAGGAAAGUUUCAUUUA